CCGUUCUUAGUUUAUUAGAAUAAUAGUUUGUCGUACUAUGGGGAGUCGCGCUUGAGCGGCUAGAUCGGG
This 69-nucleotide transfer RNA is filed under the name Clonorchis sinensis. RNAcentral's name for it is "tRNA-Asp". The record is from RNAcentral. Lineage: Eukaryota; Metazoa; Platyhelminthes; Trematoda; Opisthorchiida; Opisthorchiidae.